RNAcentral lists this ribosomal RNA (492 nucleotides) under uncultured bacterium. RNAcentral describes it as "partial 16S ribosomal RNA". It matches the Rfam family "Bacterial small subunit ribosomal RNA", at positions 29 to 507 of the family's 1533-position model. The record is from RNAcentral.
AGUGAACGCUGGCGGUAGGCCUAACACAUGCAAGUCGAGCGGCAGCACAGUAAGAGCUUGCUCUUACGGGUGGCGAGUGGCGGACGGGUGAGGAAUACAUCGGAAUCUACUUUUUCGUGGGGGAUAACGUAGGGAAACUUACGCUAAUACCGCAUACGACCUACGGGUGAAAGCAGGGGAUCUUCGGACCUUGCGCGAUUGAAUGAGCCGAUGUCGGAUUAGCUAGUUGGCGGGGUAAAGGCCCACCAAGGCGACGAUCCGUAGCUGGUCUGAGAGGAUGAUCAGCCACACUGGAACUGAGACACGGUCCAGACUCCUACGGGAGGCAGCAGUGGGGAAUAUUGGACAAUGGGCGCAAGCCUGAUCCAGCCAUACCGCGUGGGUGAAGAAGGCCUUCGGGUUGUAAAGCCCUUUUGUUGGGAAAGAAAAGCAGCAGGUUAAUACCCCGCCGUUCUGACGGUACCCAAAGAAUAAGCACCGGCUAACUUCGUG